RNAcentral lists this ribosomal RNA (438 nucleotides) under uncultured bacterium. RNAcentral's name for it is "bacterial SSU rRNA". It matches the Rfam family "Bacterial small subunit ribosomal RNA", at positions 338 to 777 of the family's 1533-position model. The record is from RNAcentral.
CCUACGGGAGGCAGCAGUGGGGAAUAUUGCACAAUGGGGGGAACCCUGAUGCAGCGACGCCGCGUGGGUGAAGGAGCACCUCGGUGCGUAAAGCCCUAUCGGCAGGGAAGAAAAGCGAACAGGUUCGCCUGGACGGUACCUGACUAAGAAGCCCCGGCUAACUACGUGCCAGCAGCCGCGGUAAUACGUAGGGGGCAAGCGUUAUCCGGAUUCACUGGGUGUAAAGGGAGCGUAGACGGCGACGCAAGUCUGGAGUGAAAGCCCGGGGCCCAACCCCGGGACUGCUCUGGAAACUGCGUCGCUGGAGUACGGGAGGGGCAGGCGGAAUUCCUGGUGUAGCGGUGAAAUGCGUAGAUAUCAGGAGGAACACCGGCGGCGAAGGCGGCCUGCUGGACCGUGACUGACGUUGAGGCUCGAGAGCGUGGGGAGCAAACAGGA